CGAAGGGGCUAGCGUUGUUCGGAAUGACUGGGCGUAAAGGGCGCGUAGGCGGCUUUUUAAGUCAGGCGUGAAAGCCCCGGGCUCAACCUGGGAACGGCGCUUGAUACUGAGAAGCUUGAGGACGGGAGAGGAUGGUGGAAUUCCCAGUGUAGAGGUGAAAUUCGUAGAUAUUGGGAAGAACACCGGUGGCGAAGGCGGCCAUCUGGACCGUAUCUGACGCUGAGGCGCGAAAGCGUGGGGAGCAAACAGGAUUAGAUACCCUGGUAGUCCACGCUGUAAACGAUGUGUGCUAGACGUUGGGGGUUUAAGCCUCCGGUGUCGCAGCCAACGCGUUAAGCACACCGCCUGGGGAGUACGGCCGCAAGGUUA
This 369-nucleotide ribosomal RNA is filed under the name uncultured organism. RNAcentral describes it as "bacterial SSU rRNA". It matches the Rfam family "Bacterial small subunit ribosomal RNA", at positions 527 to 896 of the family's 1533-position model. The record is from RNAcentral.